GAUGAACGCUGGCGGCGUGCUUAACACAUGCAAGUCGAACGAGAAGUGGAGACGGAAACCUUCGGGCGGAAGACUUUAUUUCGAGUGGCGGACGGGUGAGUAACGCGUGGGUAACCUGCCUCAUACAGGGGGAUAACAGUUGGAAACGACUGUUAAUACCGCAUAAGACCACAGCACCGCAUGGUGCGGGGGUAAAAACUCCGGUGGUAUGAGAUGGACCCGCGUUCGAUUAGCCAGUUGGCGGGGUAACGGCCCACCAAAGCGACGAUCGAUAGCCGAUCUGAGAGGAUGACCGGCCACAUUGGGACUGAGACACGGCCCAAACUCCUACGGGAGGCAGCAGUGGGGAAUAUUGCACAAUGGGGGAAACCCUGAUGCAGCGACGCCGCGUGAGUGGAGAAGUAUUUCGGUAUGUAAAGCUCUAUCAGCAGGGAAGAAAAUGACGGUACCUGAGUAAGAAGCCCCGGCUAACUACGUG
Molecule: ribosomal RNA, 478 nt
Filed under: uncultured bacterium
Lineage: Bacteria
Description: partial 16S ribosomal RNA
Rfam family: Bacterial small subunit ribosomal RNA
Source: RNAcentral